RNAcentral lists this long non-coding RNA (1035 nucleotides) under Homo sapiens (human). Its description in RNAcentral is "HSALNT0117593". Lineage: Eukaryota; Metazoa; Chordata; Mammalia; Primates; Hominidae. The record is from RNAcentral.
UGGGGGCAGCGUCCUGCGCAGAGCCCAGCACAGGAAGGCGAGAUUUGUGGUGAUCCUGAAAUAGCCCCAAAGAGCCGCCUGCCACCCCCGUCAACCCCCGUCAUGCCCAGAAACCACACCAGGCCAAGGACAGAGGGCAACGGCUCCGGGGCCUUUGAAGCCCACGGGAGACUUGAAGAAACGUCCGGAAGACCAGGCUCUGCUGUGGGCCAGCCCCCGGAGCCAUGUGUGAGAAUCGCUCGGGGAAGGAGCGUGUGAAGCAGAGGGGAGGGGAGGGAGGGACGCAGCCCUGCGCACUCUGAAACCCGGCUUCUGGCCUCCGACGGGGGAGAGUGCAUUCCUGUGGCUCCCGGCCCCACGCCCCAGGGAGGGAGGGACCAUCCUCACUCUUGGCAGCCAGGACCCCGAAUGCAGAGCUUCCAGGACUUGUCCCAGGCCACGCAGCCACCCCGAGGCAGCCGGGACGCAGAGCCUGGCCCCAGCCCCAGCUCCGCGGUGCACAGUAUGGCCUCAGACAGCGGCCUCACGCCUCUGCACCUCAGUGUUUGCACCUGUAAAACGGGACUGGUCCUCAGCCUCCACCUCGAAGGGUUGUGUGGGGUUGCAUGGAAUUCGCCAAGGGAGCGAAGAGUCUGCGGAGAUCACCGCUAAUAUCCCCAGGGCCUGAGCCAGGAGGGUCCACACCCUGAGGCCACUCAGGCCCCAUCAAGGGUCAGCAAGAGGGAGGAAGCCUGGCAGCUCCGUCCACCCCCUCGGUCCUUCCUUGCUGAGCCAGCCCUCCCUGGGUCCCAGAAAGACGACGGGGGUGUCAGAGGUCCCUCCUGCAGGCCGGCCCAGGGCCCCAGCGAGCUGGGGGUUGGAGGGGAAUUCCCAUCCGCAGGGAGGCACCGGGGCUUCAGGAAAUGCCUGGGCAGAGGGAACAGGGCAGGCCUCCCACCCCAAUGCCAGGACCCCAGAUCUCCCACCCCAGACCUCCCACUCCAACACUGGGACCCCUGGGCCUCCCACCCCAAUGCCGGGACCCCCAGAUCUCCC